RNAcentral lists this non-coding RNA (28 nucleotides) under Rattus norvegicus (Norway rat). Lineage: Eukaryota; Metazoa; Chordata; Mammalia; Rodentia; Muridae. The record is from RNAcentral.
UCCUACCUGCUCACUGAGUGUAUGACCA